This 253-nucleotide ribosomal RNA is filed under the name uncultured bacterium. RNAcentral's name for it is "partial 16S ribosomal RNA". It matches the Rfam family "Bacterial small subunit ribosomal RNA", at positions 524 to 776 of the family's 1533-position model. The record is from RNAcentral.
GACGGAGGAGGCGAGCGUUAUCCGGAAUUAUUGGGCGUAAAGGGUACGUAGGCGGCUGGUCAAGUCUGGGGUUAAAGACCACAGCUCAACUGUGGGAAGGCCCUGGAAACUGACCGGCUAGAGUGAGGUAGGGGUUGCGGGAAUUCCAGGUGUAGCGGUGAAGUGCGUAGAUAUCGGGAAGAACACCUGAGGCGGAAGCGCGCAACUGGGCCUCAACUGACGCUGAGGUACGAAAGCUAGGGGAGCGAAUGGG